This 482-nucleotide ribosomal RNA is filed under the name uncultured bacterium. RNAcentral's name for it is "partial 16S ribosomal RNA". It matches the Rfam family "Bacterial small subunit ribosomal RNA", at positions 30 to 507 of the family's 1533-position model. The record is from RNAcentral.
AUUGAACGCUGGCGGCAUGCCUUACACAUGCAAGUCGAACGGUAACAGGUCUUCGGAUGCUGACGAGUGGCGAACGGGUGAGUAAUACAUCGGAACGUGCCCAGACGUGGGGGAUAACGAGGCGAAAGCUUUGCUAAUACCGCAUACGAUCUAAGGAUGAAAGCAGGGGACCGCAAGGCCUUGCGCGUUUGGAGCGGCCGAUGGCAGAUUAGGUAGUUGGUGGGAUAAAAGCUUACCAAGCCGAUGAUCUGUAGCUGGUCUGAGAGGACGACCAGCCACACUGGGACUGAGACACGGCCCAGACUCCUACGGGAGGCAGCAGUGGGGAAUUUUGGACAAUGGGCGAAAGCCUGAUCCAGCAAUGCCGCGUGCAGGAUGAAGGCCUUCGGGUUGUAAACUGCUUUUGUACGGAACGAAAAGGCUCUGGCUAAUACCUGGGGCACAUGACGGUACCGUAAGAAUAAGCACCGGCUAACUACGUG